This 429-nucleotide ribosomal RNA is filed under the name uncultured Gammaproteobacteria bacterium. RNAcentral's name for it is "bacterial SSU rRNA". It matches the Rfam family "Bacterial small subunit ribosomal RNA", at positions 355 to 776 of the family's 1533-position model. The record is from RNAcentral. Lineage: Bacteria; Pseudomonadati; Pseudomonadota; Gammaproteobacteria.
GUGGGAAUCUUGCACAAUGGGCGAAAGCCUGAUGCAGCCAUGCCGCGUGUGUGAAGAAGGCCUUAGGGUUGUAAAGCACUUUCAGUGGCGAAGAAAAGGUCGGUGCCAAUACCGCCGGCCCUUGACGUUAACCACAGAAGAAGCACCGGCCAACUCCGUGCCAGCAGCCGCGGUAAUACGGAGGGUGCGAACGUUAAUCGGAAUUACUGGGCGUAAAGCGCGCGUAGGCGGUCUGUUAAGUGGGAUGUGAAAGCCCUGGGCUCAACCUGGGAACUGCAUUUCAAACUGGCAGACUAGAGUUCAGUAGAGGGAGGUGGAAUUUCCUGUGUAGCGGUGAAAUGCGUAGAUAUAGGGAGGAACACCAGUGGCGAAGGCGGCCUCCUGGACUGAAACUGACGCUCAAACGCGAAAGCGUGGGGAGCAAACAGG